Long non-coding RNA from Hyla sarda, 356 nucleotides. RefSeq lists it as uncharacterized. The record is from RefSeq and is a predicted model, not a curated record. NCBI's taxonomy places the organism in Eukaryota, Metazoa, Chordata, Amphibia, Anura, Hylidae. The transcript is spliced from 3 exons.
GGAGCAGAGAAGUGGGCCCCCGGUGAAGAUGGACAGCCCGGAACAACUAACCCUCCCCACCGGACGGUCCCUGCAGCAUAGAUGGCCCGGACCAGCUCACCCUUCCUUCCCACCGAGGGGAGGACCGCCGUGAUCCUAAUCCCAUCAGCCGGACGUCAAGGAGCAGACUGGCUCGAGCCUAUGAUGGGAUUGACACUACUUGAAUAUUAUCUUUGAGUGCGCAUCCUAUGUCCAUUCUUGGGAAACCAUCUGAACAUCUUGAGAACACGUGGAAGAGAUCUUGGAAUACGGGACAUUUAGAGGGACAAAUUAAGUGUUUUUUUUUAUGUAGUUGAAAUACUUUUUUUUAUAAUAAA